RNAcentral lists this ribosomal RNA (1779 nucleotides) under Hypocoma acinetarum. Its description in RNAcentral is "LSU rRNA". It matches the Rfam family "Eukaryotic large subunit ribosomal RNA", at positions 73 to 1877 of the family's 3401-position model. Lineage: Eukaryota; Ciliophora; Phyllopharyngea; Hypocomatida; Hypocomidae. The record is from RNAcentral.
GAUUACCUUAGUAUGGGCGACUGAACAGGUAAAAGCUCAGGCAUAAAAUCAUCAAUUGUAAAAAUUGAAGAAUUGUAGUCUGGAGACCCAAACCGAAAGGAUCCGAAUGCAUAAUAAGUUGGAAUACUUUUUCAAGGAGGGUGAUAAUCCCGUACAUGGCAUAAGGAGACUGUAGGUAAGGAGUCAUAGAGUCGGGCAUUUUGGGAUUUAUGCCCUAAUCGGGAGAUAAACUUCUUCCAAGGCUAAAUAUUGAUGGGAAACCGAUAGCGAACAAGUACUGUGAAGGAAAGAUGAAAAGAACUUUGAAAAAAGGGUUAAAAGACUUGAAACUGUUGAGAAGGAAGCGGAGGCAGCUGGCAAAGACUAUUAAUACUGAGUGGAAACUUGUGGAUAGUAACCGAAAGGGCUUAAGCAAGGGCGAAGCGAGGGAAGAGUAGUUAAUAUCAAAGUGGGGUUCUGACGAUUGAAUAGGUUAUAUGAUUUACUCUCUUCGGGGAAAGCUUAUAACUAAAAGUCGAUAGAGCCUGAGGGAACGAGUUGACUUUGAUAAAACGGCUGUCACCGGCCCGUCUUGAAACACGGACCAAGGAGUUUUACUUGCUUGCGAGUCUGCGAGUGCUAAACUCAUAGGCGAAAUGAAAGUAAUUAUAAGAUGCCAGGAGCAAUCUGCAGCAUCGGCCGUUCCUGAUCUUUUGAGAAGGAUAUGAGCAAGAGCAAGUUGGUAAAGACCCGAAAGAUGGUGAACUAUGCUUGAGUAGACUAAAGCCAGAGGAAACUUUGGUGGAAGGUCGAAUAGGUACUGACGUGCAAAUCGUUCUUGAAACUUGAGUAUAGGGGCGAAAAACCAAUCGAACCAUCGUAGCUGGUUCCCUCUGAAGUUUCUCUCAGGAUAGCUGGAAUAAGAACGCAGUUUUAUUAGGUAAAGCGAAUGAUUAGAGGUAUUGGAGUCUAAAUGAUUUCAACCUAUUCUCAAACUUUAAAUUGGUAAGAUCCGGGGGUUUUCUUAAUUGAACGCUCGGGAAGAAUGCGUGUUCCAAGUGGGCCAUUUUUGGUAAGCAGAACUGGCGAUGAGGGAUGCUCCUAAAGUUGAGCUAAGGUGUCAAAUUUGCAGUCAUCAGAUACCAUAAAAGGUGUUGGUUCAUUAAGACAGCAGGACGGUGUCCCUAAGAGCAGGAAUCCGCUAAGGAGUGCUUUCAAGCUCACCUGCCGAAUGAAUUAGCCCUGAAAAUGGAUGACGCUAUACUGUAAAACCGAUACUCAACCUUUAAGGUAAAAGGAUAUCUUAAAGAGUAAGAGGGCGAGGGCAUAGUGUCGAAGCUUAGACGUGAGUCAAGGUGGAACUGUGUCUUGUGCAGAUCUUGGUGGAAGUAGCAAAUAUUCAAAUGAGAAUUUUGAAGACCGAAGUGGAGAAGGGUUCCAUGAGAACAGCAAUUGGUCAUGGGUUACUCGAUCCUAAGGAAACGGGAAAAGCCUUAAAAUAUGGAUUUGAUCCAGAUUCCAAAAGGGGAUGAGGUUAAUAUUCCUCAAGCUAGCGUGGAUGAAGGUGGCAACAUAAACAAGCUUGGAGACAUCAGUGUUUACCCCUAGAAGAGUUUUCUUUUCUUCUUAACCAUCUCAAACCUUGGAAAUGGAUUAUCCAGAGAAAAGGUCCGAUGAUGGGUAGAGUAGUUCAAUUUCCGAACUAUUAGGUGCGUUGACAAUGAUCCUUGAAAAUCCAGGUGAGCGUUUUAUUUGCACGCUAGAUCGUACCACAAACCGCAUCAGGUCUCCAAGGUUACU